RNAcentral lists this unclassified non-coding RNA (365 nucleotides) under uncultured Chloroflexota bacterium. RNAcentral's name for it is "uncultured Chloroflexi bacterium contains 16S-23S intergenic spacer region". The record is from RNAcentral. Lineage: Bacteria; Bacillati; Chloroflexota.
UCCGGGGGUUUCCCGGCAGUCUCGCCAGAGAAGUACAACUGGCGACGGGGGUUGCGCUCGUUGCGAGACUUAACCCAACACCUCACGGCACGAGCUGACGACGGCCGUGCAACACCUGUGCACGCUCCCCGAAGGGUCCAUCAGCUUUCACAUCAGUACCACGUGCAUGUCAAACCCGGGUAAGGUUCUUCGCGUACCAUCGAAUUAAACCACACGCUCCGCUGCUUGUGCGGGCCCCCGUCAAUUCCUUUGAGUUUUAGCCUUGCGGCCGUAGUCCCCAGGCGGAGUACUUAUCGCGUUUGCUUCGGCACUGAGGGGGUCGAUACCCCCAACACCUAGUACUCAUCGUUUACGGCGUGGACUAC